Orbicella faveolata is the source of this 1637-nucleotide long non-coding RNA. The record is from RefSeq and is a predicted model, not a curated record. NCBI's taxonomy places the organism in Eukaryota, Metazoa, Cnidaria, Anthozoa, Scleractinia, Merulinidae.
UAAAAGAGCUUUCGGAAAACGCAAUCUGAACAUCUGUCGCUGCGAGAGAAAUCAAGCGCCGACUGUUUUCUAGGAGAAAAAUCGUUUUUCAAUUUUAGCCAUAUCUGUACUGAAUUUGACUUUAGUGAACUGAAUCGGCUAGUUCACAAUCACUAAUCGAUGCCCCAUUACACUUUGGGUAGGACAGCAUCAGCAUGAUUUGAAGACCAACAGGACGUAGGAAACCGUUCUCAGGCAGUGAAAAAUCAAUUUUUUCCCCCUUUGUUAAAACAAUUGUCUCUUUGAUCCCCAACAAGUCAGCACAAUCUGCUGUAAAGAUCGCACGGAAGCUGAACGAGAACUGAACGGAACCAAAAUUACACUUGUUUCUAUCUUCAGUUGGAACCAUAUCUCAAAUAUGUCUCAUAUGGGAAUACAUUUUUCUCCCAGAUGUAGUUUUCUACUGUUUCCGAACCAUGUUUCCACGAUUAUCAUGGACAGUGUCGACACAGUGUUAAGAUAGCGCGACCUGGGCUGAGCGGAAGAGCAGAAGUCAGAGCAAUUUGCAUGUUCUCUAACGACAGACAACGCAAUCUCUUCGCAUUAAACCUACACAAGAUCAAAAGAAACUUCAAAACAGAAUAUACUGUUUUAGUAUUUGUCUCAAUUAUUUUACUUUAAGGAAAUAAACAUUCUGCCAAAUGCAUUUUCGUUUUUUGUUUAUUUGACCUUCAGGCAAAAGGACGUACUUUGAUAUCAUUUGUGAACAAUCGAUUUGGUUUCAGCUACAACUUUAGAUUGUCUAGACUGGAUAGGUUUCAAGAUCACGUUUGUGAAGAAAUUUUUUCCCUUUCUAAGGUAAGAUACCCCUUCACAAAUAAAUUACUCAAUCACUUUAAGAGGUAGCACGGGAGGAACUCAGCCGAGACCAAGAAGUCUGUUCAAUUGAAGCAAUGGUAUUUUCUUGGCUGAAGUUAACUCUUGCCUGCAUAAUUUGUGCAACUGCUAUUAGUACAGUGGAUCUGGCGCUGCGGCCGUGAAAAUAGAUUUUUACUCCAGUUCAUCCCAGCCCUCCGGCGUCAACAUUUACAACAUACAGGUAAGCUCUCCUCAAAUGUUCUGUCGCGCCUAAACGUUCGUAAUAAACUGCUAGUAAGGUCUUAGAAUUUAUUACGAGACUUAUUAUUUUGUAAGCACAAUUCGCAUCUACUUUAUUGCUUUCGGCGGUUCUCUUUUCACACUUAAUAUAAGUAAUUCAUGGUGCGUUCUUUCAGAAACAAACGAAAAAAACAACCAUGAACAGUUAAAUGAAUGUAAGGACGAGAUACUCGCAAGCAGGAGGGAAGAAAAUAAGUUCAAAGAGACUUAAUUUUUGGCCUUUAAACUCUCGAGUUGUACCUUACCCCGGUUAUACCUCUGCUAACAAAAUUUUCGGUUAGAAGUCCUGGACCUUCUUACCCCGGCGCUAUGAGUCUCUCAAAAGUACCCCCACCAACAGGAAGUUGUAUCUUAACAUGUGGCUCCCGAUACUAUUUCGGAGUUUAUGAGUUAUUAAAGAACGUUCUGUUGAUGCUAUGGUAAUCUGACAGGUAAAAAACUGACAAGAUCAUCGUCUGCUUCCAAAUGAUCGCGGGGCGUAAGUUGGAUAACAUUCAUUU